GUGAUGUUCGUUUCAUCUGUCUCAUCAUAGUCCAUCAUCACCAGAGCGUCAGGGCGCGCGCCAUCCACACUCAUUUUUUGCUUAGUGUGUUUGGUAUUGCAUCUUUUUUCUCAUCCUCUCUAGCUUCUGCUACUUCUUUAGCUUCUUCUGCCAAGUCGUCUUCGAUCAUCAUCGUAUAUCGGCAAAGAGUGUCCACUCCUUCCUUCUUAUUCCAAGAGGGCGCUUCUCUGUCCUGUUGCGCAAUCGAGUCUUGCUGCUUCUUUUCUUUUUUUCUUAUUUCUUGGUU
Caenorhabditis elegans is the source of this 286-nucleotide non-coding RNA. The record is from Ensembl. Lineage: Eukaryota; Metazoa; Nematoda; Chromadorea; Rhabditida; Rhabditidae.